This 456-nucleotide ribosomal RNA is filed under the name Terrahaemophilus aromaticivorans. RNAcentral describes it as "bacterial SSU rRNA". It matches the Rfam family "Bacterial small subunit ribosomal RNA", at positions 30 to 473 of the family's 1533-position model. Lineage: Bacteria; Pseudomonadati; Pseudomonadota; Gammaproteobacteria; Pasteurellales; Pasteurellaceae. The record is from RNAcentral.
AUUGAACGCUGGCGGCAGGCUUAACACAUGCAAGUCGAACGGUAACAUAAAGAAGCUUGCUUCUUUGAUGACGAGUGGCGGACGGGUGAGUAAUGCUUGGGAAUCUGGCUUAUGGAGGGGGAUAACUACGGGAAACUGUAGCUAAUACCGCGUAGAAUCGGGAGAUGAAAGUGUGGGACCUUCGGGCCACAUGCCAUAGGAUGAGCCCAAGUGGGAUUAGGUAGUUGGUGAGGUAAAGGCUCACCAAGCCGACGAUCUCUAGCUGGUCUGAGAGGAUGACCAGCCACACUGGGACUGAGACACGGCCCAGACUCCUACGGGAGGCAGCAGUGGGGAAUAUUGCGCAAUGGGGGCAACCCUGACGCAGCCAUGCCGCGUGAAUGAAGAAGGCCUUCGGGUUGUAAAGUUCUUUCGGUAGCGAGGAAGGCAUUUAGUUUAAUAGACUAGGUGAUUGAC